RNAcentral lists this ribosomal RNA (253 nucleotides) under uncultured bacterium. Its description in RNAcentral is "partial 16S ribosomal RNA". It matches the Rfam family "Bacterial small subunit ribosomal RNA", at positions 524 to 776 of the family's 1533-position model. The record is from RNAcentral.
UACGUAGGGCGCAAGCGUUAUCCGGAAUUAUUGGGCGUAAAGAGCUCGUAGGCGGUUUGUCGCGUCUGCCGUGAAAGUCCGGGGCUCAACUCCGGAUCUGCGGUGGGUACGGGCAGACUAGAGUGAUGUAGGGGAGACUGGAAUUCCUGGUGUAGCGGUGAAAUGCGCAGAUAUCAGGAGGAACACCGAUGGCGAAGGCAGGUCUCUGGGCAAUUCCUGACGCUGAGGCGCGAAAGCGUGGGGAGCAAACGGG